GGCGCGCAAAUUACCCACUCCCGGCACGGGGAGGUAGUGACGAAAAAUAACGAUACGGGACUCAUCCGAGGCCCCGUAAUCGGAAUGAGUACACUUUAAAUCCUUUAACAAGGAUCAAUUGGAGGGCAAGUCUGGUGCCAGCAGCUGCGGUAAUUCCAGCUCCAAUAGCGUAUAUUAAAGUUGUUGCGGUUAAAAAGCUCGUAGUCGAAUUUGUGUCUCAUGCCGCUGGUUCAUCGUUCGCGGUGUAAACUGGCGUGACAUGGGACGUCCUGCCGGUGGGUUUAGCCCUUAACGGGGCGGCCCUAUCUAAUCCUGCCGCGUUGCUCUUAAUCGAGUGUCGAGGUGGGCCGGCUCAUUUACUUUGAACAAAUUAAAGUGCUUAAAGCAGGCUAAAAUUUUGCCUGAAUAUGUGUGCAUGGAAUAAUGAAAAAGGACCUCGGUUCCAUUUUGUUGGUUUUAGGAACCCCGAGGUAAUGAUUAAUAGGAACGGAUGGGGGCAUUCGUAUUGCGACGUUAGAGGUGAAAUUCUUGGAUCGUCGCAAGACGAACAUAAGCGAAAGCAUUUGCCAAAAACGUUUUCAUUGAUCAAGAACGAAAGUUAGAGGUUCGAAGGCGAUCAGAUACCGCCCUAGUUCUAACCAUAAACGAUGCCAGCCAGCGAUCCGCCGAUGUUCCUCCGAUGACUCGGCGGGCAGCUUCCGGGAAACCAAAGCUUUUGGGUUCCGGGGGAAGUAUGGUUGCAAAGCUGAAACUUAAAGGAAUUGACGGAAGGGCACCACCAGGAGUGGAGCCUGCGGCUUAAUUUGACUCAACACGGGAAACCUCACCAGGCCCAGACACUGGAAGGAUUGACAGAUUGAGAGCUCUUUCUUGAUUCAGUGGGUGGUGGUGCAUGGCCGUUCUUAGUUGGUGGAGCGAUUUGUCUGGU
This 928-nucleotide ribosomal RNA is filed under the name Meloe tuccia. RNAcentral's name for it is "SSU rRNA". It matches the Rfam family "Eukaryotic small subunit ribosomal RNA", at positions 431 to 1319 of the family's 1831-position model. Lineage: Eukaryota; Metazoa; Arthropoda; Insecta; Coleoptera; Meloidae. The record is from RNAcentral.